Long non-coding RNA from Triticum dicoccoides, 497 nucleotides. RefSeq lists it as uncharacterized. Lineage: Eukaryota; Viridiplantae; Streptophyta; Magnoliopsida; Poales; Poaceae. The record is from RefSeq and is a predicted model, not a curated record. The transcript is spliced from 2 exons.
CCCAAUAUUGCGUCUAUCUUAUCAUCUCGUACGCUGUUUGUGGAAAAUAUGAAGGGGAGCAGCGUGGUGUCCCUGAUUGCUGUUUUGAUCAUCGGGUGCCUUUUAAUGGUCGGACAAUGUCGGCCUGAGCCCGAGAGCACCUCCGAAGAUGGCCAUGCCAACGCGACUAUGGCAGUCUCGUCGUUAGAUGAGAGCAAACUUACUAUUAAAUUUUGUGUUAUUAGGGAUUGUCAGACCAAAGGUGAAUAUUAUGGCUUCGUAGGGUGCUACUGCUGCUUCAGUUUGAAGGGCGUUCCAUGUUAUGAUACCGUACGUGAGUGUCAGAAGAUUUGUCCAGCUCAAUCAACCUAAAAGAAGGUUGCGCAUUAUCAUGAGGAUAUAGAGAGGCAUCGUAUCCUUAGAAUCCAACAAUGAUGGUGUAUCCCUAUAUCCAGUUAUUUUCAAUUGUCCGAUCUACAUCCUAUGUGUCUGCUCUAAUAUUUGCAAGUUUGCACUGA